Molecule: non-coding RNA, 5108 nt
Organism: Oryza sativa Japonica Group (Japanese rice)
Lineage: Eukaryota; Viridiplantae; Streptophyta; Magnoliopsida; Poales; Poaceae
Source: RefSeq, a predicted model, not a curated record
UCGAUGAUUCAUCGAAGCACCUAAAGUAUGUUCUGCUUGCGUCGGCGCCUCUCCGACUCCCUUGCGCAGUGGGCCGGUGCCAAUCCCUCCCCCCUCGUGGCGGCUGGCACAGAUCGAUCUCCUUUCCUGUCCUUCGUUUCCUCUCUUUGCUCCCUACUCCCUCUCAGCCAUAGCGACGGUGGCCGCGGCAAUAAUGGCCAAGGCAGCCACAGCGACAGCGGCCGUGGCGGCGAUGGCCAAGGCGGCCAUAGCGGUGACGGCUCCGCAGCAGCUAAGACGGCCAAGGCGCGCGGGCGGCGACGACGCUGGUGGGCGAUGGAUCCGGUGUUGGGAGGCGCGUGGGUGACGGCGAGGCUAGGGGGCGGUGGGGGAGGUUCGAGGGUAGUGGCGAGCAUGGUGGGUGGUGGAUCCGGCGUUGGGAAGCAUGCCAGCGGCGGUGAGGCAGUGGGCAGCCGAUCCGGCUGCUAAGUUCAAGGCUUCUAGUGGCCGACUUCCGAGCAUAAUCCCUCUGCCUCCUGAAGCUGUCACCGCCGCCUGCUUCCUCGACAUCCCUGCCAAAUCGGAGCCCGGUUGCCUCCUCACUAAAGCGCUGAGCUUCCACCGUCCGCCGAAGCCGUGCACUCCCGCUUGGAGCUCACAACUGCAAGUCAAAGUCACCUCCGCAAAAUCAGGUUAGAUCCGAUUGAUUUUUGUAGCAAUCCCGUGGAAGUAUUUAUGGGGUUGGUUUUAUCUGUUCGAGUCCAAAUCGAAUAUGCAUUGGAUUAGAGUUCUCCUGUGGAUCUCUUUUCUGAUUCUAUUUGGGUGGAUUAGAGUCUGAUUUGAAUUCACAAGUUCUCCUUUUAGUUAGAAUUUCAAUUUCGAAUUGGGAAUUUGAAAUUUUGGAACAACCUAGCUGUGGGAAUUUUGUUUUUUCCUUGUGGUGUGUGCAUCCGAUUUUGUUGCGCUGAUUUUGGGAAGUGUUUCCAUGUAUCCGAUUCUGAUGAUUUAGUGAUUUUUCUAAGGUGCACUGAGGGAUGAAAGCGGCCUUUCCCGCAAAUCGGAAAUCGAAUGCACUCGUACGGAUAGAUGAAAAAUUAGUGCGAUGACGGACGAAAACACGGACAAAAACACACCAAUUAAAAUAUUUUUAUAUAAUUAUUUUUUAUUUUAGUUAAACUUUAUUUUAUAAUUUAAUGAGGAGGAUUUCUUUGUAUUUUAGCCAUGCUCUUAUUAUAUUGGGUUAAUUGGAUCCAUGCCACUACAACUUUGCCAAAUUAAGAAAAAAAAAUGCAACUACUAUUCGUCAUAUCUGCUGUAUGCCACUGGAAAUUUUAAUUUGCCAAAGUUGCAGUGGUAUGAUCCAAUUAACCCUAUAAUAUUUUAGUCCUUAUAUUUUCUCAAUUAUUAUUUUUCUCAAAAUAGUAAUUAUUAUAUUUUAGUAACCUUAGAUAAAAAUAAUAUAAUUGCAAAUGCAACUUUGUUGGCCCAUUUCUCAGCCUCUCUACAUUGUCUGCAUUAUUUUCCACUUAAUUGUUCCCUCUCUCUCCUCAUUAGUUUUUCCCCUUUCUUUCCCACUUCCACCGACGAGCGAACGAGUUCUCCAGGGACCUCAUCAUCUGCUUGCGGGGAGAAUUUUCAGAAUAUAACACUCAAUACACACUGCUUUCAAUAUUUGUCACUCAAUUCACACUACUUUCAGAAUACACCACUAGAGUGUGAAUUUUCUUCGUUCCGUGACACUCCGUCAUCCCAAAACCGCGCGUCGUCAGUUCAUUCCUCUCGCCCCGUUUGCCCUCACCGCCGGCGAGCUCGUCCUCCCCCACGCCGGCGAGCUUGUCCUCCCCACACCAGCGCCUGCGCUGCUGGGCGGGACCAUCCACACGGUCGCCGGUGACAUCGCCUGCUUGCCGCCGUGCCGGAUAUUGAGAUCGAGCCGCCACUGUUGGCUUGGAGGAGGGGGUCGGCGACGAUGGGGGUAGCGCGGGGGGAGGAGCCGUGGCCAGCGCCUCCACCGGGCCGCCGACAGCCGCGCGCGUCGGCUGUAGCUUGCGGCGCCGCUUCGCGGUGGGCUCGUCGCCGCGGGCAGCCGCCGCGACGGCGGAGGGCGACUCGAUGGGGAUGCGGAGGACGCCGUCGACGGUGGCUUGGAGGAGGUCAGCCGCCGGAGCUCGACCACCGGAGCGACGGCGGCUCGGUUCGCUCGUGUCAUCCCCGAGCUCAGCCGCCGUCGCCAGUCCAACCUCCGCCACCGCGGCCUCGAGCUGGUAUAGAGCUCAGUCGCCGGAGCUCGACGCCGACGGGCGGCGGUGGGGCUGACGCGGGCGACGGAGGGGCUGACGCGGGCGGCGGCGCGGCUAACACGGGCGCGAGCGGUGGCUGACUGAUGACGGCGACGUCGGGAGGAUGGAGAACGACGGCGCGACUGACGGUAGGGGAUGGAAUAGCACGGAACAAAGAAAAUUUGCACUCUAGUGUUGUAUUUUGAAAGUAGUGCGAAUUAGGUGACAAAUCCUGAAAGCAGUGCGUAUUGGGUGUUAUAUUCUGAAAAUUCUCGCUUGCGGGGGUUGGACCCUGGAGCCUGGAGUCGAAGAGCUUGCCGCCGGUAGAAUCCAUGGUGCGGAUUCGCGCCAGCGUGGACCGGCCAGGUCCGUGGCCGCGCAGAUCGAGCUUGCAUGGGCUGGCUAGCUCCCUGGUAGGUCCCUGUCCUCCUCUCCUCGCUCUGCUCUCUCUUCCUCCAUCCCGGCAUGGAUUGGGCGCAGGUGACGCGGAUCAACGCAGCCGCUCCCGGCCAGCAUCAACCUCACUUGAAAGAAGCAGAGCGAUUUUCCACCUUGGCUGGAUCAGAUACUAUUUGUCUUCGAUUCUGUGAGUUUAUAUUUGAUUUUCUGUCUUUUCUUCAACUCGAUUUUGUUAAAGUAUAUCUCUGUGUAAUCCGUGUGCUUUGGAUUAGGAUGGCCGGUGGAUUAAGCUAUAGAUUAGCUUAGGUUGUUGUGAUCACAUGUAAUAAGGAUCCGGCCGUUCUAUCCAUAGCGCAUGCCUAUUUGUAUCUUCUCCAUCGCCGUUUUGUGCGAUAGGUUAACACGCAUCGUCGACCCGAGUGCAAAGGACGACGUUCCCAUCCAUCCUGUUUUCCCACAUGGUAUCAGAGCGCUGAAGUUAGAUCCCAUCUACCAUGGCUAGCUCCUCCUCUUCCACCUCCACAAAUUCCUUGUUCUGCUUCAAUGUUUCUGAGAAGUUGAGCAAGCAAAAUUAUCAGCUGUGGUGCGCACAAGUGCUGACUGCGAUUCGUGGGGCACGCCUCAAGGGGCAUCUGAAAGGCAAGACCGUCACUCCCGCCGCCCACAUCGAAGCAGAAAAGAAAGAAGAUGACAAGACGAAGAUCAAGAUCAUGAUCGACAACCCAGCGUACGAAAGAGUGGUUUGCCGCGGAUCAACAGGUUCUCGGCUUCCUCUUUUCAUCGCUGUCACGGAAUAUAUUAUCCCAGGUUGCCACGGCGACCACAGCGACAGAUGCCUGGAAGAUGAUCCAGGAGAUGUUCAACUCCAGGGCGACUCGCGCGCGCUCCCUCAACGUGCUGCUAUCUCUCACCAGCACUAGGAAGGGAACCCAGACCAUCUCAGAGUACUUCGCCAAGAUGAAGGCCUUAGCAGAUGAACUAGCGAUGUCAGGGAAGCAAGUCGAUGCCGAAGAACUCACUGCUUUUAUCUUAAAUGGUUUAGAUGAUGAUUAUGAUUCUGUUGUAUCGGCUUUAGCGGCCAAAACUAAACCUAUUACUCUAUCAGAAACAUAUGCCCAGCUAUUGAACUUUGAGAACAGGCUUAAUCUACGACGAGAAGGCAACAUGACGGCCAAUGUAGCCGGGCGCGGCCGUGGCAACGCUCCGAGCAACCGGGGUGGUGCCGGCCGUGGACGUGGUGGUCGCGGCGGCUUCAAUGGUGCUGGCACAAACGCCGGCUGUGGAGGACGUGGCGCUGGACAGCAGCAGCGCUCCGGCAACGACACACGACCCGUGUGUCUGGUGUGCUACAAGCGGGGACAUGUUGCAGCAGAUUGCUGGCAUAGGUAUGAUGAUUCUUAUGUGCCAGAUGAGCGACACCUUGCUGCAGCAGCCUCCUACGCCUAUUUUUUUUAGAUAAGUCACCGGAGGGGAGAGGUUCCCCACCUGAAUUGCAUUAAAUAAAUAGAGUAAGGGUUACAACUGAGUUUACAUGACAUGAAGAGAUUGCAAGGGGGAGGAGAAGAUCCCUUUCCAAAUUGAAACUACAACUCUAUCAGGAGGCUUAAGACGUUCAGACCAGAGAGAACAUUCGUCCACACAUUUCCUAAUUGCUGCCGGAACUGAAGCAUCCAGGUUGCGGAAAACAACGUCGUGUCUGUGGUUCCAUAGUGCCCAUAAGCAGAGAAGAUAGAAGACAUGGUGGUGCAGCUCGGGCAGGUUUCCAUUGGGGCGCAGACGUCCGAGUUGACGAACAUCCUGAAUAAGCGGGUCAAUGCCGAUCGUCGUCCAGAAUUGCUGGGCAAAGGGGCAAAGGAAGCAGAUGUGACUUGCAAUUUCAGAUGCAGCUCCACAAAUGGAGUCGACUCCAAUCGGUACAUGGUCUCAGGCGCCACGGACCACAUCACCGGUGAACUGGACAAGCUCACGGUUAGCGACAAGUACAAGGCGAACGAUCAAGUGCACACUGCCAAUGGAGCAGGCUACGAGGGCAACAAUGCUUGAGGGACGGCGAUACAAGGGACUCUACCCGCUUCCUCCUUCAUCUCCUGCAUCCUCUCCAAAGGCUGUUUACGGUGUGGCGCCAUCUUUUGCAAGAUGGCAUAGUCGGCUAGGUCAUCCUUCAAGUCCUAUAGCGUCUAAAGUUAUUAGCACAAAUAAUCUACCUUGUCAUGACAAGGCUAGUAAAGAGUCUGUGUGUGAUGUGUGUCAGAUGGCCAAGAGUCAUCAACUUCCUUACAAUAGAUCUACUAGUGUUUCUCAAUUUCCUUUGGAACUCAUUUCCUCAGAUGUCUACGGACCUGCUCCUAUUUCUGUUGGUAGACAUAAAUAUUAUGUGAGUUUUGUGGAUGAUUAUAGUAAGUUUACCUGGGUUUACCUUCUUAAAGCAAAAUCAGAUUUUUUCAGGUCUUC